AUUGAACGCUGGCGGCAUGCUUUACACAUGCAAGUCGAACGGCAGAGCGGGCUCCUUUUUGGCGGCGAGUGGUGAAUGGGUGAGUGAUGCAUAAGAACGUGCUCAGCUGUGGGGGAUUGCUGGGCGACAGCCGGAAUAAUAGGCCAAACGACGUGAGGCUGAAAGUGGGGGACCGAGAGUCUUGGCGCGAUUUUAGUUGGGGAUGGCGGGUUAGCGAGUUGGUGGGGUAAGGGCGUACCAAGGCGGCGAUCCGUAGCUGGUCUGAGUGGACGGCCAGCGACACUGGGAGUGAGACACGGCCCAGACUCCUACGGGGGGCGGCAGUGGGGAAGUUUAGACAAUGGGGGCAACCCGGAUGCAGCCGCGCCGCGUGCGGGAAGAUGGCGUUCGGGUUGUAGACCGCUUUUGUUCGGGGAGAAGUCCUCUUGGCUAAUACCCCGGGGGGUUGACGGUACCGGAAGAAUAAGCACCGGCUAACUACGUG
This 484-nucleotide ribosomal RNA is filed under the name uncultured bacterium. RNAcentral's name for it is "partial 16S ribosomal RNA". It matches the Rfam family "Bacterial small subunit ribosomal RNA", at positions 28 to 507 of the family's 1533-position model. The record is from RNAcentral.